Molecule: long non-coding RNA, 2325 nt
Organism: Phycodurus eques (leafy seadragon)
Lineage: Eukaryota; Metazoa; Chordata; Actinopteri; Syngnathiformes; Syngnathidae
Exons: 5
Source: RefSeq, a predicted model, not a curated record
CCAACAUGUUUUUUUUUGUAGCAAAUUGUUUGCAAUGAAACUUACAGGGAAAGGAUGUGCAACUUUUUUUUUUCUGCGACUGAGCCCUCGCAGGAAGCUGAACAUGUUCCUCAGCCUGUGGAAGAACAACAACAAAUUUGGUAGAAGUAAAAAGCAAAGAGCUUACCGUUAAAAGCUUCAACUUCAGUGUUGGAUGACAGGUCACUUCACCAGGCAGUCACAGACAACAGUUUCCUCAUCACUGUUGAUAGUCACCAGUCAUCAUGAGGAGAGCGUGGACCGGUGUGUCGUGACCCUGGAAAACAAAGACAUCCGUGAAUCAAACCUUUAUACCCAACAUGGUUUUUUUGUAGCAAAUUUUUUGCAAUGAAACUUACAGGGAAAGGAUGUGCAACUUGUUUUUCCUGCAACUGAGGCCUCGCAGGAAGCUGAAGAUGUUCCUCAGCCUGUGGAAGAACAACAACAUGUUUUGGGCAGAGAAAAGUCACGAUUGUGGAGAGCAUACCAAAGUUGGCUCCUCAAAUUCAUCCCCCACUUUGGUUGUCCUUCAGCUGAGGAAGAGGAGCGCACCAGGAUGAGAGGAAGGCCUGGACCUGAAGCCAGCCUGCAUGCAGAGUCAAAACCAAAAAGCAGCGUGUCAAACCCAGCAGACGUGGCGACAGGAGAGCCUCGUACAUCUUGUUUCUCUCGCAGCUCUGCAUGACGUCAACAAGAAGCAGUCAAGACUGCACACAAAAAGCAGGAUGUGAGGAGUGGUUGCUGCAAGUCAUCCUCCUUCAGAAGAUUGCCUUUAACACAGAUGAGUAUGCAGUAGGAAAAUAGUAAACGGAGGCCAGAAUUUCUAAAACAAAAGACAUCUGUUAAGGUUUUGCCAUACAGCACAUUUGACAAGAGAUGAAACCCACCAGCAAUGAAGAGGAUGUGACUUGUUUCUCUCUGGGACUUUGUCCAAGCGCUCACAGGAAGCGGAGCAUGAAGGAAGGAAAAACAUUUGAACAACAUUGUGAUGAUUGUUCAGUGUAUUCACAGAGUGGACUGUCAAGUGUGUGUGGACACCACUGCAAACAUCUCAAACUUGUCCAACUCCUCAGGCUGCUCCACUGUUUGGCUUCAGCAUCUUCUGAUGUGGUCAUCCAGCUGAGGAAGAGAUGACAACAUGCAAGGCAAGAAAACAAGUGAGAUCAACAAAUACUUACGUUGUAAUUUGCAUUUAUUUCUCCUGCAUAUUAAAAUAAAUUGAACUUGAGCCGACUGAAGCCGCAAUGACAGUUUCCUCAUUGCUGAUGACCAUCACCAUCAAGACGAGCGCGUCGACCAAUGUGUCGUGACCUCCCUGAAGAAGCCAAAAAGACCGCAUUGAGGACCACCUGCAUAGUCACGUAGAACUGUUUUUCCCCAGCAGGUGCAGGAUCUUGGGCCAAGGUAGUUCUCUGCCACAAUGGAACUUGUCCUGGAAUCCACCCUGCAUGCAGAAUUUGGUGACGGUCAGCCUUUUACACGAUCUUGUCACUCACCCAACGCUGGAUGAAGUCAAAAGGAUGUCCAUCUUUGACGCAGAUCAUGUCAGACCUUGAAGCAGGAAAUCUGCUUCACUCGUCGGUCCAAGCCCAAGAUACUUUUGCGCCACCUAGUGGACAUGACCGAAGAGUAGUGAAGAGUGUUCAAACCCAGCGAGGGCCAGCUCCAGCCUCGAAGUCCAGCAUCUCAGUCCUCAGGCAGCGCCGCUUAAAGUGGAGGUUGCACACAGAAGCAGGAUGUAAGGAAUGUUUGCUGCAAAGGCACAAUCUUUUACCAUCACCGUUGGAGAUUAAUGCAUUUUGGGUGUUGUGACAUGUUCCCACCUUAAUGUCAUCACAGGAAUAAAUCUGUUCGCUUUUGCCACAUGGUAGCUCAUCAUUUGCUGAAACAAAUUGAUAUAGUUUUCAUGUGUACCAGUGUGCAUGUCUCACCAGUGAUGAGAGCAGGGUACACCGGGCUCGCUAAACAAGAAAGACACAGUAACAUAAUUAGCAACGUGACAUUUGGUAAGCAUGUGUAUACAAAGUUGAGCUGCAAUAAAAACCUCAAGGCGUCAUGCUGUGAAAGAUACAGAAAGUCUCUUCGAAGUAGAUCUUUCAGAAUCAGUUUGGCCGCUUAAGACGGAAGCCUGUGGACAGAAAUUAGACAAUUAUGAACACACACAUAUAUAGGUACAGUUGUUAUAAUUCGGUUUAAUUGAGAAUAUGGCAACCUACCUCCCACGAAACGGCGCUCCUCUCCAGAUGUUGGAAAGGGUUGGAGCCAAUACUUUCAUGAUCAAGUGCAAUGCAUUUAUGCAUUUAUUUA